AUUGAACGCUGGCGGCAGGCUUAACACAUGCAAGUCGAGCGGGGUGAUGGUGCUUGCACUAUCACUUAGCGGCGGACGGGUGAGUAAUGCUUAGGAAUCUGCCUAUUAGUGGGGGACAACAUCUCGAAAGGGAUGCUAAUACCGCAUACGUCCUACGGGAGAAAGCAGGGGAUCACUUGUGACCUUGCGCUAAUAGAUGAGCCUAAGUCGGAUUAGCUAGUUGGGGGGGUAAAGGCCUACCAAGGCGACGAUCUGUAGCGGGUCUGAGAGGAUGAUCGGCGACACUGGGACUGAGACACGGCCCAGACUCCUACGGGAGGCAGCAGUGGGGAAUAUUGGACAAUGGGGGGAACCCUGAUCCAGCCAUGCCGCGUGUGUGAAGAAGGCCUUAUGGUUGUAAAGCACUUUAAGCGAGGAGGAGGCUCUUUUGGUUAAUACCCAAGAUGAGUGGACGUUACUCGCAGAAUAAGCACCGGCUAACUCUGUGCCAGCCGCCGCGGUAA
RNAcentral lists this ribosomal RNA (503 nucleotides) under uncultured bacterium. Its description in RNAcentral is "partial 16S ribosomal RNA". It matches the Rfam family "Bacterial small subunit ribosomal RNA", at positions 30 to 523 of the family's 1533-position model. The record is from RNAcentral.